RNAcentral lists this ribosomal RNA (301 nucleotides) under uncultured bacterium. RNAcentral describes it as "partial 16S ribosomal RNA". It matches the Rfam family "Archaeal small subunit ribosomal RNA", at positions 459 to 759 of the family's 1478-position model. The record is from RNAcentral.
CAGCAGCCGCGGGAAUACCAGCAGCCCAAGUGGUGGUCGCGCUUAUUGGGCCUAAAGCGCUCGUAGCCUGGCCGGUAAGUUCCCCGUGAAAUCGGGUCGCCCAACGAUUCGGCUUGCGGGGAAUACUGUCGGUCUUGGGGCCGGGAGACGCCGAGGGUACUCCGGGGGUAGCGGUGAAAUGCUGUAAUCCUCGGGGGACUACCAGUGGCGAAGGCGCUCGGCGAUAACGGGCCUGACGGUGAGGGGCGAAAGCUGGGGGCGCGAACGGGAUUAGAUACCCCAGUAGUCCCUGUCUCUUAUA